RNAcentral lists this ribosomal RNA (500 nucleotides) under uncultured bacterium. RNAcentral's name for it is "partial 16S ribosomal RNA". It matches the Rfam family "Bacterial small subunit ribosomal RNA", at positions 29 to 523 of the family's 1533-position model. The record is from RNAcentral.
AUUGAACGCUGGCGGCAUGCCUUACACAUGCAAGUCGAACGGCAGCACGGGAGCAAUCCUGGUGGCGAGUGGCGAACGGGUGAGUAAUAUAUCGGAACGUGCCCAGUAGUGGGGGAUAGCCCGGCGAAAGCCGGAUUAAUACCGCAUGAGACCUGAGGGUGAAAGCGGGGGAUCGCAAGACCUCGCGCUAUUGGAGCGGCCGAUAUCAGAUUAGCUAGUUGGUGGGGGAAAGGCCUACCAAGGCAACGAUCUGUAGUUGGUCUGAGAGGACGACCAGCCACACUGGGACUGAGACACGGCCCAGACUCCUACGGGAGGCAGCAGUGGGGAAUUUUGGACAAUGGGCGCAAGCCUGAUCCAGCAAUGCCGCGUGCAGGAAGAAGGCCUUCGGGUUGUAAACUGCUUUUGUCAGGGAAGAAAUCCUCUGGGUUAAUACCUCGGGGGGAUGACGGUACCUGAAGAAUAAGCACCGGCUAACUACGUGCCAGCCGCCGCUGUAA